This 484-nucleotide long non-coding RNA is filed under the name Populus tremula. Its description in RNAcentral is "long non-coding RNA (PTRE_LNC000004)". The record is from RNAcentral. Lineage: Eukaryota; Viridiplantae; Streptophyta; Magnoliopsida; Malpighiales; Salicaceae.
AGUGACAGCGAUAACUGUGGUUUUGUAGUGUUUAGAGGGCAGUUUUCUUUUUGGAUCUCGGAGGACCAAAAGAUAAAGAAAGUGUAAGGUCAAAAUCUUCUUCAUCUUCACCUUCCAAAUCUUGCUGGCUAAUGAUGUUGUUGCUGCUGCUGCUGCUGCUUUGCUUUCUCUUCGUGGAGAUCUCUUGCUUAUUGGUUUCUAAAUCUUGUCGGCUUUUCAUGGUGUGAGUAAAAGAGGGAGAGAGGAAAACGAGAGAGAUGGAAUUUGAAAGGACAAUAAAAAUUGGAGAUAUAGUUAUGGAAGCAGAAUAUAUAAGAUAAAAAAGAGACUACUGGUCAUCUUUCUCUGUGUUUGUUAUGCUGUUCUUCCCCUACCGGCCGGUCACCUUUUUUACUGGGUCUUUUUCACUCUGUCUCAGCAAGUCUAUAAUUUAAUAAAAUCAAAGUUUGAAGAAGAUUUGAAAAUUUGUUUCACAUCUUUUAUC